Long non-coding RNA from Anguilla rostrata (American eel), 193 nucleotides. RefSeq lists it as uncharacterized. The transcript is spliced from 3 exons. The record is from RefSeq and is a predicted model, not a curated record. NCBI's taxonomy places the organism in Eukaryota, Metazoa, Chordata, Actinopteri, Anguilliformes, Anguillidae.
AAUAAAGGGGGAGUGGUUAAUAAUAGGGUAAUAAAGGGGGUGGAGUUAAUAAAAGUGUAAUAAAGGGGGUGGAGGUAAUAAAGGGGGUGUGGUUAAUAAAGGGGUUAAUAAAGGGGGUUGGGUUAAUAAUAGGGUAAUAAAAGAGGUGGGGAUAAAAAAGGAGGUGGCUUAAAGGGUAAUAAAGAGUCAUAGU